Long non-coding RNA from Cebus imitator (Panamanian white-faced capuchin), 446 nucleotides. RefSeq lists it as uncharacterized. The record is from RefSeq and is a predicted model, not a curated record. The transcript is spliced from 2 exons. Lineage: Eukaryota; Metazoa; Chordata; Mammalia; Primates; Cebidae.
CUUGUUCCUGACGGAGGUGUAGAAAGUCUGUAGCAUGAUGUAAUGGAAUUAAGACUGUUUCAAUGAAAUAUACAGCCCCUUUCUGGAAUCUACUUGUUCUGCUACCACUAUGGAUAUACCGACCUUUCUGUGCCUUUCAGGGACAAGGGUAGAAGAAGAGUUUCAGACUCCCCCCAAAACAAAACAAAAACUGAACAAUAAACAACCACCAAAAAAAAAAAAAAAACCAGGAAAAAAGGUGGAGGUACUCUUUCACCCUUGCCUGCUUUCUCCUGCUACCAAAACAAACAACAGAAACUACUUUUUCUCAUUGGAUCAUGUAGCUAAAAUUCUGCAGCAAAUUUGUAAAAGAAAAGAAGUGGAAAUCUACUUAAGAGCUCCUGUAAACCCUUUUGUACAAAACAACCACUUUGGUUCCCAUUAAAAAGUGUUAUCUGUUUCUUUGA